Non-coding RNA from Punica granatum (pomegranate), 553 nucleotides. Lineage: Eukaryota; Viridiplantae; Streptophyta; Magnoliopsida; Myrtales; Lythraceae. The record is from RefSeq and is a predicted model, not a curated record.
CGUCCCCGGACCCGUCAUCUCCUUCGACCCGGUGAGUUCCCGUCCAAUUGCCCCUACUUGGCAAACCGGACGUGGUCGAGGAUGCCGUCUCCUGCUCGCAAGCUUCGAUGUCAACUCGGACUCAAUCUCUCUCUCUGCUUCGGUGGCAGCGAUGAAGUUGAAGCUGACCCCUCGACUCGAGCUAGCGGCGGCUCUGCUGCUGAUUAGCUGCUUCGCUUCCCAGAUCCAAGCUUCUGAUGUGGUACUCGAACUUUCUUCAACGGCAUCCUCGACCACGUCUAGUCCACCAAGUGGGGGCCGUCGGACGGGAACUCGCUGGGUUGAAGGAGAGGGCGGGUCUGGGGACGAUGAACGGUGGAGGGGGAUGAGGAAGACGAUGAAUAGUGGAGGAGAGAGAGGGGUUGGAGCAAAAUUGAAAAAGUACGGAACACAACAUCGUCAUUUUUUUCCUGUUUAAUUUAAUUUUUGGUAUACUGUAUAAUAUUAAUAUAUUAUACAUCAACAUGGAAGCUACUACCAACAUAAUUGUAAGUCUCGUUUUGACUUUUGAGAA